Molecule: ribosomal RNA, 459 nt
Filed under: uncultured organism
Description: partial 16S ribosomal RNA
Rfam family: Bacterial small subunit ribosomal RNA
Source: RNAcentral
UACACUCCUACGGGAGGCAGCAGUGGGGAAUAUUGCACAAUGGGCGCAAGCCUGAUGCAGCGACGCCGCGUGGGGGAUGAAGGCCUUCGGGUUGUAAACUCCUUUCGCUAGGGACGAAGCUUUUUUGUGACGGUACCUAGAUAAGAAGCACCGGCUAACUACGUGCCAGCAGCCGCGGUAAUACGUAGGGUGCGAGCGUUGUCCGGAAUUACUGGGCGUAAAGGGCUCGUAGGUGGUUUGUCGCGUCGUCUGUGAAAUUCUGGGGCUUAACUCCGGGCGUGCAGGCGAUACGGGCAUAACUUGAGUGCUGUAGGGGUAACUGGAAUUCCUGGUGUAGCGGUGAAAUGCGCAGAUAUCAGGAGGAACACCGAUGGCGAAGGCAGGUUACUGGGCAGUUACUGACGCUGAGGAGCGAAAGCAUGGGUAGCGAACAGGAUUAGAAACCCCAGUAGUCCCAUG